GUGAUGGUGCGUUUGUGGCCGGCCUCCACAGUGCCUUUGCCAGGCUCGACACUAAAGCCCUGCUGCUGCAGGGAUGCAACGUUAUCCCAGAAAAACUCACCACUCUGGGGAAAAAACAGACAGUCAAGAUAAAAUCAAAGCCUAUUAAAAGGCAAAGAUAGAGGCGUCAUAUCGCCUGUCACAAGACCACAGAGGGUUUCAGUGCUUUACAGGGUUAUUAUCUGUCUUACGAUCCAUCACAGUGCAUUUGAUGAAACACCUGGCAGCAGAGCAGUGGUUAUUGCAGUAAACCUACC
This is a long non-coding RNA of Acanthopagrus latus (yellowfin seabream), 296 nucleotides long. RefSeq lists it as uncharacterized. Lineage: Eukaryota; Metazoa; Chordata; Actinopteri; Spariformes; Sparidae. The record is from RefSeq and is a predicted model, not a curated record. The transcript has 3 exons.